UAAUUUUAUCAAAUUAACUGUCCUUCCUACUUGGUUAGUUAUUUUGUAUCCAAAUACUUAACAGUUAUCCAACUAAAAGUGGACUUGCACAUUUUUCUUUUCCAAAGACAAGGCUCCCAAGUUGUCUAACCUUUCCUGUGAUGACUAGUGGCUACCAGGAUUAUGCAGAUAUUUUCAGAAAAACAGAUAUGCUUAGUAUGUCUUUUCAAGGUAAAGAUAACAUUUUAAUAGUGAAUAAGAAAGUAAUUGCUUUUCUAAAUUAAUUUGUUGCUUUGAAAACGGGUGUGGUAGCAGCUUCUGAGGUUGCCCCUGCUGAUCUUCUCUUCCUGGUAUCUAUAUCCUUGUGUAACCCCUCCCCUAGAAUAUGGACUGUGACUUAGUAACUCUAAUAAAUAGGAUUAUGGAAAAAGUUACUUCGGAAAUUAUGUUACAGAAAGGCUGAGACUUAUAUCUUAUUCACCCUCUCUCACUCUCUAUGGAGAAGCCCUUGGCAAGGAACUACCACCUCUAGCCAACAGCUGACGAGGACCUGAGUUCAUUAUGAACAAACUAUCAACAAAAACCAUCCUGUUCAGCCAGUUUCUCAGAGCAACCGUGGGAGUCAAAGCAGGAAGACAUCAGAGGAGAAUGAAAGAAGUAAGAAAGGUUUAUGAGAACCAAAAAUGGAAAAUCAUUUCUUUCACAGCAGUGCUCAGACAAGAACUCUACCCACUGAAGUCAACCGGGUAAUGGCAGCAAAAAAGGUUUAAUCCAAGUCAGUAUAAUCAACUUAUCUAAGUGCUCUGAUAUUUACUGAGUCGUGCUCUGUACUAGAUACAGUGAAAGCGAAGAGGAGGAAGCCUUCAUCCUUGUCUGCAAGAAGUCUACACUCCUAAGGGGGGAAACAAGCAUGCAAACAACUAAAUCUAAUGCAAGAGAUAAGAACACAGAGGGAAAAGCAACUAAAUGCCAAUGAGGAGACGGUUUCACUAAUCCCUACCAGGAAAUUAUACUACAGAGAAAUUUUUUUCUAAGAACACUUAGAAAGACAAAAGUGUAAAUUAAGUUUCACUGGAUGUCAUGCAAAGGAAUCCUCAAGCUCAAAGAGCAUGUCUCCUUUCAAGUUUUUGCACAGGGUGGGGAGUUGUACAGUACAAAUGCUUAUUCUUUAUUUUUUGGCUCAGUAUGUUUUUAUUUAAUUUUUAUAGAUACAUAAUAAUUGUACAUAUUUAUGGGGCACACAUAAAGUUUUGAUAACUUACAAUGCAUAAUGAUCAAAUCAGGGUAAUUGGUAUAUUCAUCACUUCAAGCAUUUAAUAUUUCUUUGUGUUAGGAACAUUUCAAUUCCGAUCUGAUUUUGAAAUAUACAAUAAGUUAUAGUUAACUCAAAUGCCCACUCUUUAGCACAAAAGUAACUGAAUAGAUAGAAAACCAGAGGAACUACUUAUAAGUGUUAUGUUUCCACCUGUGGUGACUCUAUUUUGAGAACAGAACUUAUUUUGCCUCUUCCAAAAAAAUGGUACAAAUGAAGCUGUGCAAAUUGACUAGGGUUGCACAAACAAGCUAAGCAUCCAGGUCUAUAUAACAUAAAGAAAGGGGGUAGAUAUCUGACUGGUAAGUUACCCCUCUUUCCUUCUUUUUGUUAUCCAGGGAAUUAAGCAAGUUCAGAGAACUGAACCUGGGUAAUUACCCAAUUAAACAUUUUCCUAGCAUUGGGAAAUCAUGAUGCAUGGAAAGGACAACACCAGUGGGAGAAGGCAGGAAUGCAAAAGGAGACAAGUGCCAAUCAGAGGCAAAAUCCGAGGCCCUUGUGGCCUGACUAUAAAUAAUUGCUUUUCCUCACAUCCUUGUCACCUCUUCCUAAAAUUAGAAUUAGCUUCCUGGCCUGAAAGUUAAACCUCACUCCCACACCCUCCUUUCUCACAAAGCAAUAUUCCCUAAUGCAAUAAGGUGGUGGGAUUUCAACAACAGCAAGAGUUUAGGAGUCAGGUAACUCCUUGCUCAACUCCUGCUUUUCAUUUCAGAGCUUUGUUAAUCGCUGCACCGAGCUUCUUCAUCUGAAAAAUGGGGAUGAGGAUGAUGAUGGUAACAGCUAGUAAUCAUAAAACAGGCACUGUGCAAAGCGCUUUAUAUGCAUUAUUUAUGUAAUGGGCAGUAUUCAUGAUUAUUACUACUGCAAUUGUAGUCCUCCUUUACAAAUGAAGAAAUUGAAAUUCCGAGAGGCGUUAAUUUUCCCAAGGUUUAACCUCAAUGCCUUAACUCUUGACCCUUUCUACUACUAUAAUAAUACUGCCUAAACAAGGUAUUGAAAGGGUUAACAUUAACAUGUAUGGACACACCAACUAAUGCUAUUGUCAUCGCUUUUGAUGUUGCUGUUGUUGAGCGUGAUACUGUUUUUGUUGCUUUUCUCUCUCCCCAGAUACUAGCAGUUCUAAGAUCUAAUAAGCACAAACCAUCCACCCAUAUACUGGCAAGUGUAAACCAAUGUCAUGGGAACAUUUUUGAGCACCAAAUAACAAAGCUAAUAUACCUUUUAGAUCUUUCAUUAUUAAAAUGUUUCUGUUGAGCAUGAAUGAGAGCAAGAGAAAAAGAAAUGGGAUUCAGUACUACCUAAAAUGAUCCCCCAUGCCUACGUUUCUAAAAAUUCAGAAUGACAAAUGAAAGGUACACUGUUCUUACAUGUGUCACUUAGAUUUCUUAAGAUAAAAUUAUGUAUCAUAUGCUAAUUUUUGACUAUUCAAACUGCGUUUCUGCUUCAUUCUUAUCUUUUAAUUCACUUUUCAUUGUAAUGAAAUAACUAUAAUACAUGUUUAAACCUCUAACAUGCCAAAAUGCCAAUCAGAUUAAACACAAUAGGAAGCAUUUGGCAUACCCCUGGAGACUUUCCUAAAUAAAAUAAAAUUGUUAUUACAUUUCAUCACUUCCUUUCUUAUUGCCAACUAAUGUCCCCAUGUCUGAAAGGGUCAUUUUCAAGCUACACGUCUAUUUAUAAUAGUGUGUUCACUGUCUUCCUUCCUCUGGCACAUUAUCUAUGACCUUGACCAUUUCAGGACAGAUAAAAUGGUACCAUAAACAUAUGUUUACGAAGCUCCAGACAUCUUGUAAGAGAUUUUGUGGUUAUUAAAAGCAGUAAAGAGUGACAAGCACAGUUCUAUACUAUAAUACUGCCUGUCAAGAGAAAAAUGUCACCCUUACCAUAAAGUAUCCAGAGGCAUAAUUAGGAAGUGGCAAAGGGAACGAUUUCCUGGGCACAGUAAUAACAGGGCUGAGAUGAAACACAGCAGCAAUGGAAGCUGCCUUCUCUCCAACAUGCCCGAGUGGAGCCCCAGACCACACCAAGGGUCCAGGGCAUAGUCAUGCUCCCACGUCCAAAAUGUGGAACAUCAAGGAAUGCCCAGGACAGUCACACUCAUGAAGAGGUGGCAACAAGAAUUUCUGGGAGCAAAUGAGAUAUUCUGAUGUUUCUGACUUUUCCUAAUUGCAUCAUUAUGAAAACUAAAAUAAUGAAUCCUCCUGGGCACCAACUAAGAACAUUAAAGAAAUUGAAACUUCACAGCUCCUGAUGCUCCAUACCCAUAAACACAGAUCCAUACAGUCCCCACAGAACUAUAAAUAAAUCCUGCCUGAAAGUCUCCUUCCUGUUCACAUGUUUUUCCAUAAAGCUUGGUAGUAUCUCUUUCCUUUUAUCUUAACUUUUAUCCUUGUGAUUCCUGUCGGUCAAGGACAAGAGGUACAAAUAAAAUGGGAGCUCCAGAUUCUUGCUCAGUUCAUCGCAACUCCCCCUGAAAAAGUCUCCUUUCCCAGAACCAAAGGAAUAAAAAUAAUCCCUGUAAAGUUAUGUGCUGCUUUGGGGCCCUUUCUGCAACAUAGGGAGUUCAGUGUAUCCCUAGGCAUCCUUCCAGCUCAAACAUUUUCUGAUUCUGGGAUGUGUGAGGCUGGAGAUGAGUGGAGUCUCAGGAGCGGCCCCUGCAGCCUCUAUCCUAGUCAGGAGCCGCCUCUCACAUUUGGGGGCCCAGUCCCGGCAGCUGUGAGGCCUGGGGCUAGGAGGUUGGCAUCUGUCCUCCUCAGAGCUAACAUUGGCUUCAGCAGGGGAGCAACUUUCUGUCAAGUGAUUUUUCUCACUUACAGAAAAAUCCUAUCUUUCUCACUUUUAUAAUCAGCAUUAUUCACCUGUCAGGACUCAUUCCUAUCCCAGCUUCUCCACUUAGUAGAUGUGUGACCUCUUGGGCCUCAGUUUCCUCACCUGUAAAAAGAAGGCACUAAUGACAUCAAUUGUUGUUGCAAGAAUUGAAUUGGUUAAUGUGUGGAACGUGUUAGAACAGUCCCUGGAAUACACGAAACACCAGGUAAUUGCUAACCACCAGGUGUAUUGUUAUUACUGCUGGUAGUAGUAGCUCACCAACACAAGGGAUGCCAACACUACUACCUUUCCCUUAUCUUUUCACUCCACUAAGUUUGGAAUGGAUGGUUCAGAUUCCCAUUUUAAAAGCCCCAUUGGACUUCACAAAGCCUCCUGCCAGUGCUCUGAGACUUUACCGGAAGGUUUUCAUUUUCUCUUGACAGGAGGCACACUGUGUGUGGAAAGUGUCCUUGCCACCUCUAUAGUAUAAAUAACUAUCAAAUGUGACUACGAAUCAUAAACAUGUCAGUGAUUUGAUUCCAUGGAUUUACAUCAUAAUUGAAAUAGUCAAGGUCACAAAUAAUGGGCUAAAGGAAAACAGCAGCACCAUACCACCAAUCCUGAAUUUUCUCCAACUUUUCUCUAAUAUGUACUUUUUAGCAUUUUAGAGUCCUAUAGAGUGCCUGUGUUUGAGGAAUUAAUUCCUCUCUGAUAACAUAUGUAUUUUGAAUAACACCCCAGUUACAGAUUGAAUCCUGGCGACAACAGGAAAUGGCAGAAAAAUAAUGGUCUAAAAUAUUCCCAAACCCAAACCUCUUCUCUCAGAAAGAGGUGUAGAGCUGUGACAAGUAAGCUACCACAUCGCUCACUUCUGGUCACAAUAUCCAGUAAUACUCAAAGGCUGUGGUGGUGAACUAAUAUUCUACCUAAGGUUAAAAAAAAAAAAAAAGGAUAAUAGAUCCAAUCAUUUAAAUUAUUUUUUGCCCAACAUUUGACACCUUUACAAGCUCUAAAAUGAUAAUAUGUUCCAGUCACUGAAGGUUUUAUUUUAUGAGAUUCUAUAAUUUCAAUACAUAUCAUGAACUAAUUUAUCCUUGUUCACUUUAAAUCUAGAGAGACAUCGUGGUACCAGUCAAGGUAGAUGUGGCCAGAAUCACUGAAAUAGAAUGAUUUACUUAACACUGUGCACAUUCCUCAUGGGGUGGGGGCAGGUAUGUUCAUAAAUAACUGGAAAAUCGGAAUAUUAUAAUAAACUACUUAUUUAAAUAUUGAAUACCUUUACCUUAGUAUGGGUGAAGUGGAGAUGUCAGGAGACAAAGUCUUCCUGGUGGUAUAUUGGUCCAGAGACAACUCUCUUCUCACUCUAUCUUCCCCACUGGAGGGUCCAGCCAUGUGCAAGUGGGUGGGGAGGGAAGGUGGUGUCCCAUCACUACCUCAAGUCAGUAUACCCCAAACCCAGAAUAUUGUACAAUCUAAGUUUACUCAAGUCUCUUCACUCAAGUUCAAGUGAGGUAACUCAUCUCAGACAGUGAUGUAAUCCAUCUUGUACAACAUCCAAAGUGUGGUGAGGAGUUGGGAGUGUCAUCUCUAGACUAACUCAUUCCUCGAUACUAACUGUGGGAGUGGGGCUCAAUCCCAGACUUUUGGGAGCCCCAUAUGUAUGUCCAUCCCACCAGUGGUCAGUGAGUGACUUCCCCUUGCCAUUUUCUUCUUUACAUUCUCUUCCUAACUCUCAUAGUUCCUCUCUCCCUGAAGUUUCCAUUCCUCUGGUGUCCUGGACACACGAAUGGAUUUUUAUUUAUACUCAUUAUCUGCUCCACAUGGUUCUGUUGCUAGACGGGGAAGAUUAAGAUGUCUGUGGGUAGAGGUGCUGGGGGAAGAGUUCCUCACAAUGAUGUGGUAUCUGAGGGACACCAGCUUAAAUCACAACGGUUAAUCUCUUGCUGGUACAAUUGUCCUACCUUAUCAAACUAAAGAGGCUCAGCCUCCUUCCCAGCUUUAAGUUGUAGUUCAAAAAGGUGCCUUCAAUUUCCAUACUACUCUAGAUAAAGUAGCUUCCCCAGACUUCUCUAUCCCAUUAAUUAAAUUUACUUUAUUCUUAGUAUUUAACAGUGGGUAAAAUUUAUAUUGACUUUUUUACACACUAAUUGUCUCUUCCCCCCCCCCACUCCCUGCCAACCACAUUAGAAUCUAAGAAUUCUGAUAACAUUUGUAUUUUGUAUUCACUUUCACUAGAAUGUGAAUAUCUUUAGGAUAUUCACGGCUCUAUAUGCAAUUCCUAUAAAGGUGCCUGGCACAAGAUAGGCAAGUUUCAGACCUGCAUGCCCAAUUGUCUAUUGGUUUAUCACAUGGGCAUCUCAAUCACAACUUGGACAAAACUGAAUUCUGGAAAGCGUACUUAGAAAACCCAUUCUUCCUCCUAUAUUUUCUACCGUCUACCAUUUUCCCCAGCUAGAAAAUUGUCAUCCUUUAAUUGCCUGCUCCCCUUUCCCUUUCUUCAAUUCCCCCACAUUCCUAAUUCUUCUCCUUCCUCUACAUCCAUCUCAUCUCCCCACAUCUAACUGGCAUCCAACUCAUGCCAAUUCUUCCUCCUCCAUCCUCCCUCUUUCCUAUCUUUAAAUGUUACCACUUCUGUGAAACCUUUUCCUUACCACUACUGUUAGUAGCUUUGAUCUCUGUGCUUCACACCAUCAUGUCUUUUCAGUGUUUUUAGGUCCUUUUAGGGUUUCACAGUUAAAAAUUUUGAGACCUGCUACAAAUCAUGGGCCCAAGAAAAUCCAUUUGCACUCAGACUUUUACAUAAAAUGACAGCACUCUAUAUUUCAAACCCUUUACUGAAACAUGCAUCAUGGUAACUGUGUUAUAUUUAUUUAUGUAUCUGUCUUCUUCACUAGAAUGUAAGAAGUUCUAGGACAAGUUUAUAUCAUGUUAUCUUUUUCAUAAAACUCCUUUGUUUAUAUUGCUGUGCUUAGUAUGUAUAAGGUACUAAAAAUCAUCAAAUUACUGUCUACUGCAAUAUUUAGAUGUUAUGUUAAGACAGCAUCUUCCAAAUAGUCAUUUGAAUAUCACCCUCACAAUUUUUGCCAUAUCUGCUCAACCUAUCCUACUAUGUACUUAACAAUUUGUGUAGAUUGUUUGUAAAAUCUUUACCAAAGAUUAUUUCCAUUUCUGAACAUAUGUGUCAUUAAACCCCCAAAAAGGUGUGGAGUCUAUUUCUCCUCCCCUUGAA
Molecule: non-coding RNA, 7328 nt
Organism: Macaca mulatta (Rhesus monkey)
Lineage: Eukaryota; Metazoa; Chordata; Mammalia; Primates; Cercopithecidae
Source: RefSeq, a predicted model, not a curated record